UUGAUUACGUCCCUGCCCUUUGUACACACCGCCCGUCGCUGCCCGGGACUGAGCCAUUUCGAGAAACUUGGGGACCGACGGCUUAGUGGCGUUCACGCGUCUCUUCUUCGCUGGAAACCAAUUUAAUCGCAGUGGCUUGAACCGGGCAAAAGUCGUAACAAGGUAGCUGUAGGUGAACCUGCUGCUGGAUCAUUA
RNAcentral lists this ribosomal RNA (195 nucleotides) under Meloidogyne mali. RNAcentral describes it as "partial 18S ribosomal RNA". It matches the Rfam family "Eukaryotic small subunit ribosomal RNA", at positions 1641 to 1831 of the family's 1831-position model. The record is from RNAcentral. Lineage: Eukaryota; Metazoa; Nematoda; Chromadorea; Rhabditida; Meloidogynidae.